GGAAUAUUGGUCAAUGGGCGGGAGCCUGAACCAGCCAAGUCGCGUGAGGGAUGACGGCCCUAUGGGUUGUAAACCUCUUUUGCCGGGGAGCAAAGUGCCGCACGUGUGCGGUUUGGAGAGUACCCGUGGAAAAAGCAACGGCUAACUCCGUUCCAGCAGCCGCGGUAAUACGGAGGAUGCGAACGUUAUCCGGAUUUAUUGGGUUUAAAGGGUGCGUAGGCGGACGCUUAAGUCAGCGGUAAAAUUGCGGGGCUCAACCUCGUCGAGCCGUUGAAACUGGGUGUCGUGAGUGGACGAGAAGUACGCGGAAUGCGUGGUGUAGCGGUGAAAUGCAUAGAUAUCACGCAGAACUCCGAUUGCGAAGGCAGCGUACCGGCGCCCAACUGACGCUGAAGCACGAAGGCGUGGGUAUCGAA
Molecule: ribosomal RNA, 416 nt
Filed under: uncultured bacterium
Lineage: Bacteria
Description: bacterial SSU rRNA
Rfam family: Bacterial small subunit ribosomal RNA
Source: RNAcentral